UCUCAGCUGAUCGGCGGGUGGGCGGGGCUUCCACGGAGGCCUCGUGUAGGCCUCUGUGAAGCCUGAACUCCAGUAGGGCCCAAGCCAGCCAGGAAGGAGGAGGCAGCCAGAGUGGCCACCACUGUUCUCUGCAGCAGAAGACCCCCUGCUGCCAGUAUUUAACCUUAGGACUCCGCUACAUGCUAUAGAGUGCACAGAACACUGCCAUUGUUCACUCUCAGCAGAAUGGAGAGGAUGAAGGUUACAGAAAGAGAACAGGAACAGAUAAUAAAGAGCUGUGAGAGUGUUAAAAAUGGUCAAGAAGAAAAUAUAAACCAUAUCUUAUUAAAUUCUGAAAUAUACAUCUAA
This is a long non-coding RNA of Hemicordylus capensis (graceful crag lizard), 348 nucleotides long. RefSeq lists it as uncharacterized. Lineage: Eukaryota; Metazoa; Chordata; Lepidosauria; Squamata; Cordylidae. The transcript has 2 exons. The record is from RefSeq and is a predicted model, not a curated record.